AUUCUCAUUUAUAAAAACUUACAGAUUUUUUCUUUUUUAUUCUAUAUCCUUGCUCAAAGUCUAUAAAAAAGGCUAUAUAAAUUUUAAAUAUAACAUUUUUGCUUUCUAGAGCAUGCUUCAGAUCGUUCAGUCCCACGUAAAUAUCAAGCUUCAAUGAGAAGACGCAUACGCAAAGUUUAGUUUUGCUUUUAGUCUAAAAUUCGAAGUUUCUGCUCAAAGUUGGAAGAAACUUGUAAAUUACCAAGCCUCACGCACGGGAGGAAACGGCGAUCCCCAAAGUCCUCAUCUCCUUUCUUCUUGCUCAAAAACAAGAUUGCUAUUCUUUGAUAUAUUUUCAUCUUGAAAGGGAAAAAGUUCGUAUUUCAACUAGCCAUACACAAUUCUGAGAUUAUGAACUAUAGCAUAAAAUUAAACAUGCUGUGUCAAGUAGAAAUCUGUUUGCAAUUGUGCAUUUUCCAAACUUUUUAAUAGAGAAUUUAUGUAGAAGUUUAUAGUAUAAUUAUUUUGAAAAGGCGCUAAAUAAUAACUUACUGUUUACCCGUGAAUUUUAUGUUUAAAUAUGAAGUGGGGUGUAUGCAAAUUAAUUAAUUCAUUUAAAAAAUCGCCGAAAUUUUCGUAUAAUUUGUAUACGAAUAGUUACCGCAAUCAUGUUUCAGUUUCUGAGAAAUAUUACGAAGAACGGGAAGUAAUUAUUAAAACAUGUGGACCAUUAUAUAAAAAAUGGGAAGCUGAGAAAAGAUUUCGAACAGUACCGAAAGAAGGCUUAACAUUUAAUGUUCCGUAUAUAGAUACAGGAGAAGGUACAGUAUCUGAUUCUAAAGAAAAAUUGCCUCCUUUAGUUUUAGCUCUACAUGGAGCUCCAGGUUCAUGGAAAGAUUUUAGCCUUGUUGCAGAUUACCUUCAUAAUGUGGGUGCAAGAGUUGUUGUCCCUUCAUUUCCUAAUUUUUCACAUUAUAAGCCUGGCAUUUUUCGACAUUCUGAUGAAGAAAAAACUCAUUAUUUGCAGGAUUUUUUAAAGGCUAUAGCUGUGCAUCAGGUUGACCUCUUAAUUUGUCAUAGUAGUUCUAUCUAUCCUGGUUUGAUACUUUGCUUAGAUGAGAAUGGACCAAAUGUUAAAUCUCUUGUUAUGCUCAAUACAGGAACAUAUCAUCUGGGUAUGAAGUAUUUUAAGUCUAUGAAAAUGAUGGUUACAGCCACUGAAACUCCUAUGGGCAUGAAAAUAAUGGAAAUAUGUGCUCCCUUUAUUAUGAAGAAUAUUGUUAAAACUCCUGUCAAAGUUGAAAAUUUUUUAGAUCCUUUGUUAUCUGCUACAACGAUGGUUCAUGGAAACAUACCAAAGGCUAAAGAAAAGUUCCUUCAACUUGUGUCUCGUGAGUUGCCUAUUUUGUAUGCCUUCAGUGAGGAUGAUCGAUUGAUUGGUAAAAAGUGGUCAUUGGAACUUGCUUAUUUGCUUGGAGCUGCUGAUUCAGAUAUCUUCCAGUAUGAUAAAGACUGUAACCUUAAACAAAGGGGUAAUGAAUCAUCCAGACUUAAAGUGAUGUCUUUUGAAAGGGGGUCUCACUAUGUAUUUUGGAAGCAUCCUGACAUUAUCAACAAUGCAAUUGCGGAUUUUCUGUUCAAAGACCAUUUGCAGAAAUAAAUAUGGAUAAAAAUUUUUUUUUUCAUGGAUGCACGAUUUUAAAAUCUAAUUCUUUAGUAUCUCAAGAAAGGUUUAUAGAAGACCAUGGUAUCUGUUUUUUAAGACGAACGAGUGUGUUUCAAAAUUUGGCAAAAACUCUUCACCAGAACGCUCUGGAAAUUUCUGCUGUGGAAGUAAAUAGAAUGUACGGGGAAGUGCAGAACUGCAUUGAGGUCAAACUCUUCUUUUAAGUGUACAAGCUCUGGUAAGUCGUAUCUUUCUUCUCGAUUAUUUACUAAAUGAAAAUUUUCAUUUGCACUUUGGCAGCUGAGGUUGAUGGCUCGGUAAAACCAUCGAAACCACU
RNAcentral lists this unclassified non-coding RNA (1982 nucleotides) under Stegodyphus dumicola. Its description in RNAcentral is "uncharacterized LOC118193265, transcript variant X2". Lineage: Eukaryota; Metazoa; Arthropoda; Arachnida; Araneae; Eresidae. The record is from RNAcentral.